GGAGAGGUGCGAGAGUGGCUGAAUCGGGCGGUCUCGAAAACCGCUGUGGGGUUUCCACCCCACCGUGGGUUCGAAUCCCACCCUCUCCG
This 89-nucleotide transfer RNA is filed under the name Pseudomonadota bacterium. Its description in RNAcentral is "tRNA-Ser". It matches the Rfam family "tRNA". Rfam says of the family: Transfer RNA (tRNA) molecules are approximately 80 nucleotides in length. Their secondary structure includes four short double-helical elements and three loops (D, anti-codon, and T loops). The record is from RNAcentral. RNAcentral also lists the same sequence under 1 other name. Lineage: Bacteria; Pseudomonadati; Pseudomonadota.